AUUGAACGCUGGCGGCAGGCCUAACACAUGCAAGUCGAGCGGAUGAAGGGAGCUUGCUCCUGGAUUCAGCGGCGGACGGGUGAGUAAUGCCUAGGAAUCUGCCUGGUAGUGGGGGAUAACGUCCGGAAACGGGCGCUAAUACCGCAUACGUCCUGAGGGAGGAAGUGGGGGAUCUUCGGACCUCACGCUAUCAGAUGAGCCUAGGUCGGAUUAGCUAGUUGGUAGGGUAAAGGCCUACCAAGGCGACGAUCCGUAACUGGUCUGAGAGGAUGAUCAGUCACACUGGAACUGAGACACGGUCCAGACUCCUACGGGAGGCAGCAGUGGGGAAUAUUGGACAAUGGGCGAAAGCCUGAUCCAGCCAUGCCGCGUGUGUGAAGAAGGUCUUCGGAUUGUAAAGCACUUUAAGUUGGGAGGAAGGGCAGUAAGUUAAUACCUUGCUGUUUUGACGUUACCAACAGAAUAAGCACCGGCUAACUUCGUG
Molecule: ribosomal RNA, 484 nt
Filed under: uncultured bacterium
Lineage: Bacteria
Description: partial 16S ribosomal RNA
Rfam family: Bacterial small subunit ribosomal RNA
Source: RNAcentral